UGCACUUAUUUCUUUGUCCAUGAUGGGUGCUACUGUUGUAUCAUCAUUCGUAACUAAGUUGGGGGAAAACCAACUCAGUGAAUAUAAAAUCAGAGCCAUAAAUAAUAAAAAAUGGUUGACAAGAUAUCACUUCAUGAAAUACUCAACUGAGCCAUAUCACUCGACGGAGUCUGAAAAAUUUUUUUAGAGGGCCAAUAUUAUAUAUAAAAAUUAAUUUA
Molecule: unclassified non-coding RNA, 218 nt
Filed under: Hevea brasiliensis (rubber tree)
Lineage: Eukaryota; Viridiplantae; Streptophyta; Magnoliopsida; Malpighiales; Euphorbiaceae
Source: RNAcentral